GCAUAUCAAUAAGCGGAGGAAAAGAAACUAACAAGGAUUCCCCUAGUAACGGCGAGUGAAGCGGGAAGAGCUCAAAUUUAAAAUCUGGCAGGCUACGCUUGUCCGAAUUGUAAUCUCGAGAAGUGUUUUCCGCGUUGGCCUGUGUACAAGUCCCUUGGAACAGGGCGUCAUAGAGGGUGAGAAUCCCGUCCUUGACACAGACACCCAAUGCUUUGUGAUACACUCUCAAUGAGUCGAGUUGUUUGGGAAUGCAGCUCAAAAUGGGUGGUAAAUUCCAUCUAAAGCUAAAUACUGGCGAGAGACCGAUAGCGAACAAGUACCGUGAGGGAAAGAUGAAAAGCACUUUGGAAAGAGAGUCAAACAGUACGUGAAAUUGUUGAAAGGGAAACGAUUGAAGUCAGUCGUGCCUGCCUAGUCUCAGCCUUUUGGUGUACUACUAGGUCGGCAGGUCAGCAUCAGUUUGGGAGGAUUAACAAGGGAGCUAGGAAUGUGGCAACCUCGGUUGUGUUAUAGCCUAGUUUCGCAUUGAUCUUGCUGGACUGAGGAACGCAGUGCGCCCGCAAGGGUUGGUCUUCGGACACAUUCGCACUUAGGAUGCUGGCAUAAUGGCUUUAAACGACCCGUCCUGAAACACGGACC
RNAcentral lists this ribosomal RNA (639 nucleotides) under uncultured fungus. RNAcentral describes it as "eukaryotic LSU rRNA". It matches the Rfam family "Eukaryotic large subunit ribosomal RNA", at positions 38 to 667 of the family's 3401-position model. Lineage: Eukaryota; Fungi. The record is from RNAcentral.